This 3126-nucleotide long non-coding RNA is filed under the name Sus scrofa (pig). RNAcentral's name for it is "lncRNA (ENSSSCG00070001549.1)". The record is from RNAcentral. Lineage: Eukaryota; Metazoa; Chordata; Mammalia; Artiodactyla; Suidae.
CUCCGCAGGGAAAAGGCGAGGGUGGGGAUGGGCGGACGGGCGGAAGGGAGGGGGCAGGUACUCACCAUGUGGGCUGGGGCUCAGGCUGCCUCCCAGGCACAGCAUCCAUGGCAGGAUACCUCCACUCCCACCUCGCCCAGACCAGCCGAGCCCCCUCCCCUUCCGGAGAGCCUGCUCCAACCCAGAGAGCCAAGAUUUUGACCAUAGAGAAAUCUCUCUUGCUUUUAUCAUCUCUGCAAUUUGUGUACCAAUCAACCUUCCAAAGAAGCAAUCAACUCCUAAACAACCAACUUCUAAAACUAAACGAAAACUGAAACAACCAACCAACUACUAAACCAACUGACUGAGCUAUCUGGGUGGCUUAAACAAGAAACAACUGCAGUUCUGGAGGCUGAGAAGUCCAAGCUCACAUAGAUGUCAGGUGCACUGUCUGGUGAGGGCCUGCUUCCCAGCUCAUGGAUCGCUGAUUUUUCACUGUGUUCUCAUGGCAGAAGUGAAACUGACAGCACUAAUGGCCUGCACUUAGCCAGAACACAGCACUGAACCCACAUGCUGGGAUUCAAACCCAGCCAAAACGCAGAUUGGGGCUUGAACCCACAGUUUUAAAUUAGAAUCACUCACCCUGUGUCUGGACUCACUAAGGUUCAGGUUCUUUAUGCCUCAGCACAGAAGGAAUUCAACAAGAGACAAAGUAAUAGGCAAGAAACAGAUUAGGAUAGGACACUGUGAGAGAAGCAAGUCGGCAGAAAAGGAAGCUCUGCCCAGAGGAUCUGGCGGGCCAUAGUUUUAUCAUCCAAGGGGCGUGGGGGUUGGAAAGGCCCGCCUCUUCCUUUCCGGGAGUAGUAGCUCCUCCUUAGUAUCCAGUAAGGUGUGUAUUCAAAUCAGCUGAAGGGCACUCUUCAAACUCUUGCCCUUGGUCUGAAUUUGAAUGCAGGCCUCAUCCCAUCCCCCACCCAAUGACCUGAGGCAAUUCUCGCACCUCCACUAGUCAACAAGGCUGCCCUGAUGGCUUGCUUUAUUUUUAUUUUUUUUGUCUUUUUGCCUUUUCUAGGGCUGCUUCUGUGGUGUAUGGAGGUUCCCAGUCUAGGGGUCUAAUCAGAGCUGUUGCCGACGGCCUACACCAGAGACAUGGCAACCCGGGAUCCAAGCUGUGUCUGCAAGCUACACCACAACUCACGGCAAUCCCAGAUCCUUAACCCGCUGAGCAAGGCCAAGGAUCGAACCCACAACCUCAUGAUUCCUAAUCAGAUUCGUUAACCACUGCGCCGCAAUGGGAACUCCCCUGAUGGCUUUCUUGAACUUACAGUGGUCUCCCAACAUCCCCCAGGUUUCCCUCUUUAUCUACUGGGCCUUCUACAACCACCUGUGCCUAUUCUCUUCCUAUUAGAAGGGGAGAGGGAUUUUCCUCAAACCUCUUUUAUUUGUUUAUUUGUUUAUUUUUUGUCUUUUAAAGGCCACACCCAUGGCAUGUGGAGAUCACAGCUUAGGGGCUGAAUCUGAGCCGUCUGCAACCUACACUGCAGCUCACCGCAAUGCUGGAUCCUUAACCCACUGAGCCAGGCCAGGGAUCAAACCUGCAUCCCCAUGGAUACUAGUAAGGUUUGCUACCACUGAGCCACAAUGGGAACUCCUAGAGGCCCUUUUUUUUUUUUUUUUUUCUUUUUGCUAUUUCUUUGGGCCGCUCCCAUGGCAUAUGGAGGUUCCCAGGCUAGGGGUCGAGUUGGAGCUGUAGCCCUUGGCCUAUGCCAGAGCCACAGCAACACAGGAUCCGAGCCGUGUCUGCAACCUACACCACAGCUCACGGCAACGCCGGAUCCUUAACCCACUGAGCAAGGGCAGGGACCGAACCCGCAACCUCAUGGUUCCUAGUCGAAUUCGUUAACCACUGCGCCACGACGGGAACUCCUAGAGGCCCUUUUUUAAGUGUGUUAGUCCCAUUUGUGAGGGGUCCACCCUUAUGACCUAAGCAUCUUCCAAAGGCCCCACCUCCAAAUACCAUCACAAUGGGGAUUAGGUUUCAACAUAUGAAUUUUUUGGCGGGGGGUGGGGGACACAGACAUUCAAUGGAUAGCACCAUCCCACAAACAAAAGUUGAAGGAUGCUUCAGUCUGGUAUAGAGACCAAAGCAAAGUGAUGCUGUGCUUCCUAAAGGCCUCAACUCUGUGACAACAGACUCCCAUUCUCUAGGAAAUCAGCUUUCAAUCAUCUCUGCCUAGGAGAGGCUGGGGAAGGGUCACCACUGGAGAUGAAAGGGAUUGGGUGUAGGUCAGGAUGCAGGACUAACAUGUCUCACAGAGAAAUUUUGCUUUUUAUUUUUUCGUCUUUUUGCCUUUUCUAGGGCCGAACCCGCAGCAUAUGGAGGUUCCCAGGCUAGGAGUCUAAUCAGAGCUGUAGCCACUGGCCUACACCUCAGCCACAGCAAUGUGGGAUCCAAGCCUUGCCUUUGAACUGCACCACAGCUCACAGCAGUGCCGGAUCCUUAACCCACUGAGCAAGGCCAGGGAUUGAACCUGCAACCUCAUGGUUCCUAGUUGGAUUUGUUAACCACUGAGCCACAAUGGGAACUCCAUUAUUUUAUUAUUUUAUUUUAUUUUUUGUCUUUUUAGGGCCGCACCUGUGGCUUAUGUAGGUUCCCAAGCCAGGGGUUGAAUCUGAGCUGUAGCUGCCAUGUUACACUACAGCCACAGCAACAGCUUUUACUUACUUUCUUAAACUAUUUGGUCACCCUGAUCAGAGCUGUAGCAACACUGGGUCCUUAACCCACUGUGCUGGGCUGGGGAUGGAACCUGUGUCUCACUGCUAUAAAGAUGCUGCCGAUCAAGUUGCCCCACAGUGGGAACUCCAAUCUUGCUUUUUAAAAAACCAAGAUCUACUGGUUUUUGCCCCCAGUUCAUUCAUGUCUUCCUGUUUAUUUUUUUUUAAUUACUCAAAUGAAUUUAUCACAUCUGUAGUUGUAUAAUGAUCAUAACAAUCUGAUUUCACAGAAUUUCCAUCCCACAGCCCAGGCACAUCCCCCUCAUGUCUUCCUUCUUUCCUUCUUGCCUUCCUUUCUUAUUUUUAAGCAACCCCACUGAAGUAUACUGUGGAUACAAUAAAAUGCACACAAUUUAAGUGUAUGUUUCCUUG